Molecule: ribosomal RNA, 715 nt
Filed under: uncultured Bacilli bacterium
Lineage: Bacteria; Bacillati; Bacillota; Bacilli
Description: bacterial SSU rRNA
Rfam family: Bacterial small subunit ribosomal RNA
Source: RNAcentral
GAUGAAUUUGGUGCUUGCACCAGAUGAAACUAGAUACAAGCGAGCGGCGGACGGGCGAGUAACACGUGGGUAACCUGCCCAAGAGACUGGGAUAACACCUGGAAACAGAUGCUAAUACCAGAUAACAACACUAGACGCAUGUCUAGAGUUUAAAAGAUGGUUCUGCUAUCACUCUUGGAUGGACCUGCGGUGCAUUAGCUAGUUGGUAAGGUAACGGCUUACCAAGGCAAUGAUGCAUAGCCGAGUUGAGAGACUGAUCGGCCACAUUGGGACUGAGACACGGCCCAAACUCCUACGGGAGGCAGCAGUAGGGAAUCUUCCACAAUGGACGCAAGUCUGAUGGAGCAACGCCGCGUGAGUGAAGAAGGGUUUCGGCUCGUAAAGCUCUGUUGGUAGUGAAGAAAGAUAGAGGUAGUAACUGGCCUUUAUUUGACGGUAAUUACUUAGAAAGUCACGGCUAACUACGUGCCAGCAGCCGCGGUAAUACGUAGGUGGCAAGCGUUGUCCGGAUUUAUUGGGCGUAAAGCGAGUGCAGGCGGUUCAAUAAGUCUGAUGUGAAAGCCUUCGGCUCAACCGGAGAAUUGCAUCAGAAACUGUUGAACUUGAGUGCAGAAGAGGAGAGUGGAACUCCAUGUGUAGCGGUGGAAUGCGUAGAUAUAUGGAAGAACACCAGUGGCGAAGGCGGCUCUCUGGUCUGCAACUGACGCUGAGGCUC